AGGACGAACGCUGGCGGCGUGCCUAACACAUGCAAGUCGAACGAGGUCCAACCGGUGGCAACACUGGUGAAGACCGAGUGGCGAACGGGUGAGUAACACGUGAGCAACCUGCCUCGAAGACUGGGAUAACCCCGGGAAACCGGAGCUAAUACCGGAUACCCCCACCGGGUCGCAUGGCCUGGUGAGGAAAUGGAUUCCGCUUUGAGAGGGGCUCGCGGCCUAUCAGCUUGAUGGUGGGGUAAUGGCCUACCAUGGCACCGACGGGUAGCUGGUCUGAGAGGACGAUCAGCCACACUGGGACUGAGACACGGCCCAGACUCCUACGGGAGGCAGCAGUGGGGAAUCUUGCGCAAUGGGCGAAAGCCUGACGCAGCAACGCCGCGUGUGGGACGAAGGCCUUCUGGGUUGUAAACCACUUUCAGCAGGGACGAUUGUGACGGUACCUGCAGAAGAAGCCCGGCAACUACGUGCCAGCAGCCGCGGU
This 484-nucleotide ribosomal RNA is filed under the name uncultured bacterium. RNAcentral's name for it is "SSU rRNA". It matches the Rfam family "Bacterial small subunit ribosomal RNA", at positions 26 to 521 of the family's 1533-position model. The record is from RNAcentral.